UCCCUUCCAGAGGUCUUGGGAGAAACCGACCCUCGCACUGGCUUCCUUUGCUGCAUCUCUGGUAAGCUUUAGCAGCUCCAUAGCUGCCUGCCACUCACAGGGACUUCACCUUUCCCUAGGAGGUUACGGUGCAAUCUUUGGAGCCUGUGUGAGCCCUGCGAUAGCUGAGUUAGAGGUCGGCUUCUGCUGGAAACUAAGUGAGACAUUAAGAGAUGACUCCAACAGAGGCGCGGUGGAAUUCAGAGUCCCCCUGAUCUGAGUCUUGGAGGCCUCAUCCUGCUCCAUGAAGCUGUGCCCCUGAAGCCCAUAGGCCCCACAGACCCCACCUGAGAUGUCUUCUUUUGCUUGCUGGAACCUGUCUCUAACCCUUCUUGUCCUGUUCUGCAGCCCAGGGUCUGGUGAAAAGGCCUUUGAAGUCUACAUACGGUCCGAGAAGCAGAUAGUAAAAGCCACAGAGGCUUGGAGAGUCAACUGCAGCACCAGCUGUGCAGCCCCAGAGAUCGGUGGUCUGGAGACCCCUACGAAUAAGUUAAUGUUGGAAGAGGACCCUCAUGGGAAAUGGAUAGAAUUCCUAGUCUCAAACGCCACUGUCGACACGGUCUUACUUUGCCAUUUCACUUGUUCGGGAAAGCAGCAGGCAGAGAGUUUCAACAUCAGGGUGUAUG
RNAcentral lists this long non-coding RNA (665 nucleotides) under Rattus norvegicus (Norway rat). RNAcentral describes it as "long non-coding RNA NONRATT006173". Lineage: Eukaryota; Metazoa; Chordata; Mammalia; Rodentia; Muridae. The record is from RNAcentral.